CCUACGGGAGGCAGCAGCAAGGAAUUUUCCGCAAUGGGCGAAAGCCUGACGGAGCAACGCCGCGUGGGGGAGGACGCCUUUCGGGGUGUAAACCCCUUUUCUCGGGGACGACGACCGACGGUACCCGAGGAAGAAGGCCCGGCUAACUACGUGCCAGCAGCCGCGGUAAUACGUAGGGGCCGAGCGUUGUCCGGAAUUACUGGGCGUGAAGCGCGCGCAGGCGGCCACGCGCGCCCGGCGUGAAAGCCCCCGGCUCAACCGGGGAGGGUCGUCGGGGACGGCGUGGCUUGCGGGCGGGAGGGGUCGGUGGAAUUCCCGGUGUAGUGGUGAAAUGCGUAGAGAUCGGGAGGAACACCCGUGGCGAAGGCGGCCGACUGGCCCGACCCGGACGCUGAGGCGCGAAGGCGUGGGGAGCGAACGGGAUUAGAUACCCCAGUAGU
This 440-nucleotide ribosomal RNA is filed under the name uncultured bacterium. Its description in RNAcentral is "bacterial SSU rRNA". It matches the Rfam family "Bacterial small subunit ribosomal RNA", at positions 338 to 794 of the family's 1533-position model. The record is from RNAcentral.